UAUACGACCGUACCGCAAACCGACACUGGUGCGCGAGAUGAGUAUUCUAAGGCGCUUGAGAGAACUCAGGAGAAGGAACUCGGCAAAUUGACACCGUAACUUCGGAAGAAGGUGUGCCCUAUUAGUGUGUAGUGAACAACGAAGCAUGAAUGGGUUGCAAAAAAUCGGUGGCUGCGACUGUUUAUUAAAAACACAGCACUCUGCAAACACGAAAGUGGACGUAUAGGGUGUGACGCCUGCCCGGUGCUGGAAGAUUAAAUGAUGGGGUGCAAGCUCUUGAUUGAAGUCCCAGUAAACGGCGGCCGUAACUAUAACGGUCCUAAGGUAGCGAAAUUCCUUGUCGGGUAAGUUCCGACCUGCACGAAUGGCGUAACGAUGGCCACACUGUCUCCUCCUGAGACUCAGCGAAGUUGAAAUGUUUGUGAUGAUGCAAUCUCCCCGCGGAAAGACGGAAAGACCCCAUGAACCUUUACUGUAGCUUUGUAUUGGACUUUGAACAGAUCUGUGUAGGAUAGGUGGGAGGCUUUGAAGCAGGGUCGCUAGAUCUUGUGGAGCCAACGUUGAAAUACCACCCUGGUGUGUUUGAGGUUCUAACCUAGGUCCAUUAUCUGGAUCGGGGACAGUGCAUGGUAGGCAGUUUGACUGGGGCGGUCUCCUCCCAAAGCGUAACGGAGGAGUUCGAAGGUACGCUAGUUACGGUCGGACAUCGUGACGAUAGUGCAAUGGCAUAAGCGUGCUUAACUGCGAGACUGACAAGUCGAGCAGAUGCGAAAGCAGGACAUAGUGAUCCGGUGGUUCUGUAUGGAAGGGCCAUCGCUCAACGGAUAAAAGGUACUCUGGGGAUAACAGGCUGAUACCGCCCAAGAGUUCAUAUCGACGGCGGUGUUUGGCACCUCGAUGUCGGCUCAUCUCAUCCUGGGGCUGUAGCCGGUCCCAAGGGUAUGGCUGUUCGCCAUUUAAAGAGGUACGUGAGCUGGGUUUAAAACGUCGUGAGACAGUUUGGUCCCUAUCUUCCGUGGGCGCUGCAGAUUUGAGGAAGCCUGCUCCUAGUACGAGAGGACCGGAGUGGACACACCUCUGGUGUAUCGGUUGUCACGCCAGUGGCAUUGCCGAGUAGCUAAGUGUGGAAGAGAUAACCGCUGAAAGCAUCUAAGCGGGAAACUCGUUUCAAGAUGAGAUCUGCCGGGGCCUUGAGCCCCCUAAAGAGUCGUUCAAGACCAGGACGUUGAUAGGUCAGGUGUGGAAGCCA
This 1249-nucleotide ribosomal RNA is filed under the name metagenome. RNAcentral describes it as "bacterial LSU rRNA". It matches the Rfam family "Bacterial large subunit ribosomal RNA", at positions 1635 to 2876 of the family's 2925-position model. The record is from RNAcentral.